RNAcentral lists this unclassified non-coding RNA (362 nucleotides) under soil metagenome. RNAcentral's name for it is "partial contains 5.8S ribosomal RNA, internal transcribed spacer 2, and large subunit ribosomal RNA". The stretch from base 1 to 120 matches the Rfam family "5.8S ribosomal RNA", at positions 35 to 154 of the family's 154-position model. The record is from RNAcentral.
GAUGAAGAACGCAGCGAAAUGCGAUAAGUAAUGUGAAUUGCAGAAUUCAGUGAAUCAUCGAAUCUUUGAACGCACCUUGCGCUCCUCGGUAUUCCGAGGAGCAUGCCUGUUUGAGUGUCAUUAAUAUAUCAACCUUCUCUUUUUUGAGUUGUUUGGAUGUGGGGGUUUGCUGGCCUCUUAAAUGAUUCAGCUCCCCUGAAAUGCAUUAGCAGAACAACCUGUUCAUUAGCGUGAUAAUUAUCUAUGCUAUUGAAUGUGAGGGCAGUUCAGCUUUCUAACCGUCCUUGGACAAUUCAUCAUUAAUGUGACCUCAAAUCAGGUAGGACUACCCGCUGAACUUAAGCAUAUCAAUAAGCGGAGGA